This 207-nucleotide ribosomal RNA is filed under the name uncultured bacterium. RNAcentral describes it as "partial 16S ribosomal RNA". It matches the Rfam family "Bacterial small subunit ribosomal RNA", at positions 568 to 774 of the family's 1533-position model. The record is from RNAcentral.
CGUGUAGGCGGCCUGGAAGGUCCGUUGUGAAAACUCGAGGCUUAACCUCGAGACGUCGAUGGAAACCGUCAGGCUAGAGUCCGGAAGAGGAGAGUGGAAUUCCUGGUGUAGCGGUGAAAUGCGCAGAUAUCAGGAAGAACACCCGUGGCGAAGGCGGCUCUCUGGGACGGUACUGACGCUGAGACGCGAAAGCGUGGGGAGCGAACA